AUGAACUCGGCUUCUGCCCCGGGCCCAGAUGGCCUGCCGGUUAAGUUCUUCCAAACCUUCUGGUCGGUCAUCAAGCCGGAGGUGAUGGCGCUAUUUCAGGAAUUCUACGUCGGUGUGAUUGACCUAGCCCGACUAAACAGCGGGAUCAUCACUCUCAUCCCUAAGGUGGCCGGGGCCUCGGACAUCUGCCAAUUCCGCCCUAUUACGGUGAUCACUGUGAUCUUACGUAUUCCGGUGAAGGGGUAUGCCAAUAGGGUGACCCUGCUCAUGGACCACAUCACCCAUAAGAAUCAGUUGGCCUUCAUCCAGGGCCGAUACAUCCUUGAUGGGGUGUUAGUGUUCCAUGAAGUCCAUCACGAGGUCCGAGCCAGACAUCAGAAGGUGGUCUUCCUGAAGAUUGACUUCCAUAAGGCCUACAACACUGUCCACUAG
RNAcentral lists this ribosomal RNA (432 nucleotides) under Triticum aestivum (bread wheat). RNAcentral describes it as "partial small subunit ribosomal RNA". The record is from RNAcentral. Lineage: Eukaryota; Viridiplantae; Streptophyta; Magnoliopsida; Poales; Poaceae.